ACUGUUCAGCCGCUGCUGUGGGCAGGCCCCGUGCUGGGCCUGCGCAGGCCACAGGCCAGGAGAGACAGACGGACGCACAGCCGCAGCCAGCAUCCUCCACUGAAGCUCAGGCAGGAGGGCUGGAGUGUUGUGCAACCAUCACCUCUAUCUGAUUCUGGAACAUUCUCGUCACCCUCAAGAGAAACUUUGUACCCAUCAGCAGUCACGCCCCACUCCUCCUGCCCCAGCCCCCGGCAACCACUGGUCUACUUUCUCUUUCUCUCGAUUUGCCUGUUUUGGACACUUCAGGAAACGAUGGUGACUCUAGAUGAAAGUCUUAAAUGAAAUGUCCCUGAUGGGGAGAAACAGAGUUCGCAGCCCUAAAAGGACUCCCAAACCUUGUCUUCUCCCCUGACCCGGAAGCCAUGGGGCUGACGAACUGGCAGAUCCUGUUCAGCUGUGACAUUAUUGACAGCAGGGCGCCUUCCUGUUUCAUUAGAGUUGUAUGGCCACAGUGUUUUCAGGAAUAUGCAUCUGGGUGGAGAAGGAGAUUCCCAGCCCAUGGGGAAAUAGACAUUCCUUGUGCCCACCUUCCCCACCCUGGGGGCAGCUCUGUGCCCGGCCAGGCUGGGAAGGAGAAGGGUGAUUAUAGCCACUGAGUCAUGGAGAUGUGGGGAGGUCAGGCCUGCUGGGUUCACCUGUGCACCUUGUUCCCUGCCAGGGAUUUGCUGACUCAGAAUAACAAGAAAGGACAGUUGUCAACUGCCACACUGUGGUUCCCAGAUAAGCUUAGGUCUCAGGCCAUCUGGAAAUGGGCUUGGGGCAGGGUGGUGGGAAGGUGAUAAGAAAGUGGCCCCAUUGGAUGUAUUAACAAUUAUGUGCACAGAGAGUUGACUGUAACAGUGAUAUAAUAAAGCAAAUCAAAAAUUUUGAAAAA
Molecule: non-coding RNA, 916 nt
Organism: Vicugna pacos (alpaca)
Lineage: Eukaryota; Metazoa; Chordata; Mammalia; Artiodactyla; Camelidae
Source: RefSeq, a predicted model, not a curated record